RNAcentral lists this transfer RNA (76 nucleotides) under Acidobacteriota bacterium. RNAcentral's name for it is "Acidobacteria bacterium (sediment metagenome) tRNA-Ala". It matches the Rfam family "tRNA". Rfam says of the family: Transfer RNA (tRNA) molecules are approximately 80 nucleotides in length. Lineage: Bacteria; Pseudomonadati; Acidobacteriota. The record is from RNAcentral.
GGGGAUGUAGCUCAGUUGGGAGAGCGCCGCCCUUGCAAGGCGGAGGCCGUCGGUUCGAACCCGAUCAUCUCCACUA